This 375-nucleotide ribosomal RNA is filed under the name uncultured Alphaproteobacteria bacterium. Its description in RNAcentral is "bacterial SSU rRNA". It matches the Rfam family "Bacterial small subunit ribosomal RNA", at positions 521 to 896 of the family's 1533-position model. Lineage: Bacteria; Pseudomonadati; Pseudomonadota; Alphaproteobacteria. The record is from RNAcentral.
UAAUACGGAGGGGGUUAGCGUUGUUCGGAAUUACUGGGCGUAAAGCGUACGUAGGCGGAUUAGUCAGUCAGAGGUGAAAUCCCAGGGCUCAACCCUGGAACUGCCUUUGAUACUGCUAGUCUUGAGUUCGAGAGAGGUGAGUGGAAUUCCAAGUGUAGAGGUGAAAUUCGUAGAUAUUUGGAGGAACACCAGUGGCGAAGGCGGCUCACUGGCUCGAUACUGACGCUGAGGUACGAAAGUGUGGGGAGCAAACAGGAUUAGAUACCCUGGUAGUCCACACCGUAAACGAUGAAUGCCAGUCGUCGGGCAGUAUACUGUUCGGUGACACACCUAACGGAUUAAGCAUUCCGCCUGGGGAGUACGGUCGCAAGAUUA